AGUGAACGCUGGCGGUAGGCCUAACACAUGCAAGUCGAACGGCAGCACAGUAAGCGCUUGCUCUUACGGGUGGCGAGUGGCGGACGGGUGAGGAAUACAUCGGAAUCUACUUUUUCGUGGGGGAUAACGUAGGGAAACUUACGCUAAUACCGCAUACGACCUACGGGUGAAAGCAGUGGAUCUUCGGACCUUGCGCGUUUGUAUUAGCCGAUGUCGGAUUAGCUAGUUGGCGGGGUAAAGGCCCACCAAGGCGACGAUCCGUAGCUGGUCUGAGAGGAUGAUCAGCCACACUGGAACUGAGACACGGCCCAGACUCCUACGGGAGGCAGCAGUGGGGAAUAUUGGACAAUGGGCGCAAGCCUGAUCCAGCCAUACCGCGUGGGUGAAGAAGGCCUUCGGGUUGUAAAGCCCUUUUGUUGGGAAAGAAAAGCAGCAGGUUAAUACCCCGCUGUUCUGACGGUACCCAAAGAAUAAGCACCGGCUAACUUCGU
RNAcentral lists this ribosomal RNA (491 nucleotides) under uncultured bacterium. Its description in RNAcentral is "partial 16S ribosomal RNA". It matches the Rfam family "Bacterial small subunit ribosomal RNA", at positions 29 to 506 of the family's 1533-position model. The record is from RNAcentral.